This 280-nucleotide ribosomal RNA is filed under the name Phocaeicola coprophilus DSM 18228 = JCM 13818. RNAcentral describes it as "partial 16S ribosomal RNA". It matches the Rfam family "Bacterial small subunit ribosomal RNA", at positions 493 to 776 of the family's 1533-position model. Lineage: Bacteria; Pseudomonadati; Bacteroidota; Bacteroidia; Bacteroidales; Bacteroidaceae. The record is from RNAcentral.
UAUGGUAAUUGUGUGCCAGCCGCGGUAUACGGAGGAUGCGAGCGUUAUCCGGAUUUAUUGGGUUUAAAGGGAGCGUAGACGGGUUUUUAAGUCAGCUGUGAAAGUUUGGGGCUCAACCUUAAAAUUGCAGUUGAAACUGGAGACCUUGAGUACGGUUGAGGCAGGCGGAAUUCGUGGUGUAGCGGUGAAAUGCUUAGAUAUCACGAAGAACCCCGAUUGCGAAGGCAGCCUGCUAAGCCGCCACUGACGUUGAGGCUCGAAAGUGCGGGUAUCAAACAGG